This 404-nucleotide ribosomal RNA is filed under the name uncultured bacterium. RNAcentral describes it as "partial 16S ribosomal RNA". It matches the Rfam family "Bacterial small subunit ribosomal RNA", at positions 28 to 526 of the family's 1533-position model. The record is from RNAcentral.
GACGAACGCUGGCGGCGUGCUUAACACAUGCAAGUCGAGCGGAGCGGCGAACGGGUGAGUAACGCGUGAGUAACUGCCCCCCUCUCUGGGAUAACAGUUGGAAACGGCUGCUAAUACCGGAUAGUGGGGGAUGACUCGCGUCCUAUCAGCUUGUGGGUGGGGUAGUGGCCUACCAAGGCGACGACGGGUCGCCGGCCUGAGAGGGCGACAGGCCACAUUGGGCUGAGAUACCGGCCAAAGUCCUGCGGGAGGCAGGAGUGGGAAAUAUUGCACAAAGGGGAAAACCCGGAUGCAGCAACGCGCGUGCGGGAUGACUGUCUUCGGGUUGUAAACCGCUUUCAGCCAUGACGCGGUAGUGGCAUAAGAAGCACCGGCUAACUACGUGCCAGCAGCCGCGGUAAUAC